This 344-nucleotide ribosomal RNA is filed under the name uncultured bacterium. RNAcentral describes it as "bacterial SSU rRNA". It matches the Rfam family "Bacterial small subunit ribosomal RNA", at positions 130 to 507 of the family's 1533-position model. The record is from RNAcentral.
CUCGUAGUGGGGGACAACCGUGGGAAACUACGGCUAAUACCGCAUGAUCCCUGAGGGGCAAAGGCGAAAGUCGCCUGAGGAGGAGCCUGCGUCUGAUUAGGUAGUUGGUGGGGUAAAGGCCUACCAAGCCUGCGAUCAGUAGCUGGUCUGAGAGGAUGAUCAGCCACACUGGGACUGAGACACGGCCCAGACUCCUACGGGAGGCAGCAGUGGGGAAUAUUGGACAAUGGGCGCAAGCCUGAUCCAGCAAUGCCGCGUGGGUGAAGAAGGUCUUCGGAUUGUAAAGCCCUUUGGCAGGGACGAUGAUGACGGUACCUGCAGAAUAAGCUCCGGCUAACUUCGUG